This 864-nucleotide ribosomal RNA is filed under the name Weissella paramesenteroides. RNAcentral describes it as "bacterial SSU rRNA". It matches the Rfam family "Bacterial small subunit ribosomal RNA", at positions 56 to 886 of the family's 1533-position model. Lineage: Bacteria; Bacillati; Bacillota; Bacilli; Lactobacillales; Lactobacillaceae. The record is from RNAcentral.
UGCAGUCGACGCUUUGUCUUUACUGAUCUGACGAGCUUGCUCUGAUUUGAUUUUAUCUGACAAAGAGUGGCGAACGGGUGAGUAACACGUGGGUAACCUACCUCUUAGCAGGGGAUAACAUUUGGAAACAAGUGCUAAUACCGUAUAAUACCAACAACCGCAUGGUUGUUGGUUGAAAGAUGGUUCUGCUAUCACUAAGAGAUGGACCCGCGGUGCAUUAGCUAGUUGGUAAGGUAACGGCUUACCAAGGCAAUGAUGCAUAGCCGAGUUGAGAGACUGAUCGGCCACAAUGGGACUGAGACACGGCCCAUACUCCUACGGGAGGCAGCAGUAGGGAAUCUUCCACAAUGGGCGCAAGCCUGAUGGAGCAACGCCGCGUGUGUGAUGAAGGGUUUCGGCUCGUAAAACACUGUUAUAAGAGAAGAACGGCACUGAGAGUAACUGUUCAGUGUGUGACGGUAUCUUACCAGAAAGGAACGGCUAAAUACGUGCCAGCAGCCGCGGUAAUACGUAUGUUCCAAGCGUUAUCCGGAUUUAUUGGGCGUAAAGCGAGCGCAGACGGUUAUUUAAGUCUGAAGUGAAAGCCCUCAGCUCAACUGAGGAAUGGCUUUGGAAACUGGAUGACUUGAGUGCAGUAGAGGAAAGUGGAACUCCAUGUGUAGCGGUGAAAUGCGUAGAUAUAUGGAAGAACACCAGUGGCGAAAGGCGGCUUUCUGGACUGUAACUGACGUUGAGGCUCGAAAGUGUGGGUAGCAAACAGGAUUAGAUACCCUGGUAGUCACACGUAACGAUGAGUGCUAGAUGUUCGAGGGUUCCGCCCUUGAGUGUCGCAGCUAACGCAUAGCACUCGCUGGGGAGUACGAC